CAUCAAUAUUCCACUUCUUUCAGGUUACAACAAAGACGAUAUGAAAGUGUAUGUGUCCUAUGAAUUUCCCUUUCUAAACGAUCAACCUCAAACUGGCUUCACGGAAACCAUCAAACACAACAUUAAUCGUGAAUUUGAUUAAAAGUUUAAGAUAUCUAUCGACA
Xenia sp. Carnegie-2017 is the source of this 164-nucleotide long non-coding RNA. RefSeq lists it as uncharacterized. The transcript has 4 exons. The record is from RefSeq and is a predicted model, not a curated record. NCBI's taxonomy places the organism in Eukaryota, Metazoa, Cnidaria, Anthozoa, Malacalcyonacea, Xeniidae.